This 1950-nucleotide long non-coding RNA is filed under the name Homo sapiens (human). Its description in RNAcentral is "HSALNT0386999". The record is from RNAcentral. Lineage: Eukaryota; Metazoa; Chordata; Mammalia; Primates; Hominidae.
CAAGUACGACCGAGGAAGUUGCUGAGUCAUCUCUUUCCCUAAUUAUAUCCAUGGAAGAUCUUCAGAUGCUUGUGGAUUUAGAAAGAAAAGGAAGAUCACAACUUCUCUUGCCACACUCCAAAGCCACCUUCUAACCCUCUUUCCUCUAUCAUAACUGAGAAAGUGAUGAUGCUCCAGCAAGCUCAGGGUGCCCCUCCAGAGACUGACCACAGAUACUUGUGUUAGACAAGACACCUUCCAACCCUGUCUGCAUCUUUACAAAUAAAAGAUGUUGACAACACACCCAUAGAUAAUAGGAAACAUAUUUUUGGCCAGUGAGUGAGCUUUUUUGGUCAGGCUUGAGGACUGUAGCAGAUAUUUGUUGGAAGCCUUCCCAGCAGCCCACUCCCCUUUCUCCUUCUGAACAACAAAACGGUAUUUCCCAGCCUUGCAGUGAGCCUUAGGAUUGGCUUAAGCCAAUCAAAAUGUGUGCAACUCUGUGUCCACAACAAUUAUUUCAGAGUUGGGCAUGUGAUGGAAUGAGAUGUGAAGAUGUGGGAGCCUUGGAGAAAGAAGUUUCAGUCGAUGUUGCCAUUCUCUUGGGAUCACAGAGAUACUCGGUUUCAGUUGGGGUUUCUGUUAAGUAGUAUUCUCACCAACACUGAGCCAUGAAAGGAAAUGCUGGCAAUAUUUAACAGGAGACAAACUAAUCAGGAGGCCAUAAGUGAACACUUAUGAUACCAGGCGUACCAAGAUGGAAAUGCUACUCUACCAUUUUACCACUUGUGUUAUUUGAAGGAAACACAGAUGCAGUUUCUUAAUCAGGAAACUGGGGAUAACUAUAUUGAUCUCACAGCAUUGUGCAUAUAAUGCCAGACAACAUAAAUGAAAUUGCCCAGUGCCAAGCCUGUUUCCCAGACACAGAAAUCAAUAAGGACACAGAUAAAAAGAAAAAGAAAAAUUAUGUUUGCUGAGUGGCUGGCUACUAUAAAAACAAAUUGUAUAUGGAGAGUCCCCAUAAGGUACACCCAAGGAGGCAGAAGGGCAGAGCUAGGAUGAGCAGCUUGGAUCCCCAGACUUCACGUGACAGGACAUGAACGACAGCAAUCCCAGCCACUCUGAGUAAAACUUACAUACAGUAAACAGAAAAUACGUUUUAUGGCAUAGUUCUGCAAGUUGACAAGCACAUUCAGUUGUAUAACCAUCAUCACACUCAAGAUAUGGAACAGUUCUACCAUCCACCAAAAUUCCCCCAUACUGCUUUGACUCCUUUCUCCAUCCCAAUUCCUACCCCCAAAAGAUCCACGAGCCACUGAUCCAUUUUCUAUCCCUAUAGUUUAACCUUUUCUAGAAUGUCAUAUAAACAGAAUCAUCCACUUAGUGGUCUUUUGAGUCUGACUUCUUUUACAUCAUAUAAUGCAUUUGAGAAUCAUCUAGGUUGGGGUGUAAACCAGUAUUUUGUUUCCAUUGCUUGCCAUUUAACAUUUGAUUAAAGCCCAUCUUUCUUCUUAACGGUGUAAGCCACAUGGGAUGACAGAGUUGGGGGAAAGAGAGCUGAGUUCCAAUGAUCAUUUUCAAACAUAUGCACCCAAAUACAUAUAUUUGAAACUGUUGGAGGGAAAGAAGCAUGUUGGAAUGUGCUAUAGACCAAAUCGUGUCCCAGCAAAAAUCCUGUGUUGAAGCCCCAGCCCCCACUGUGACUGUAUUUGGAGACAGAAUCUUUCGGAGGUAAUUAAGGUUAAAUGAGGUCACCCGGGUGCAGUGGCUCACGCUUGUAAUCCCAGCACUUUGGGAGGCCAAGGUGGGCAGACAGCUUGAGCUCAGGGCUUGAGACCAGCCUGGGUAACAUAGUGAAACCCCGUCUCUACAAAAAAUACAAAAAUUAGCUGGGCAUGGUGGCACCAACCUGUGGUCCCAGCUACUUGGGAGGCUGAGGUGGGAGGAUGGCUUGAGCCCAGAAGAAGAAGGUUG